RNAcentral lists this ribosomal RNA (508 nucleotides) under uncultured bacterium. Its description in RNAcentral is "partial 16S ribosomal RNA". It matches the Rfam family "Bacterial small subunit ribosomal RNA", at positions 28 to 507 of the family's 1533-position model. The record is from RNAcentral.
GACGAACGCUGGCGGCGUGCCUAAUACAUGCAAGUCGAACGCUUCUUUCCCCCCGAGUGCUUGCACUCAAUUGGAAAGAGGAGUGGCGGACGGGUGAGUAACACGUGGGUAACCUACCCAUCAGAGGGGGAUGACACUUGGAAACAGGUGCUAAUACCGCAUAACAGUUUAUGCCGCAUGGCAUAAGAGUGAAAGGCGCUUUCGGGUGUCGCUGAUGGAUGGACCCGCGGUGCAUUAGCUAGUUGGUGAGGUAACGGCUCACCAAGGCCACGAUGCAUAGCCGACCUGAGAGGGUGAUCGGCCACACUGGGACUGAGACACGGCCCAGACUCCUACGGGAGGCAGCAGUAGGGAAUCUUCGGCAAUGGACGAAAGUCUGACCGAGCAACGCCGCGUGAGUGAAGAAGGUUUUCGGAUCGUAAAACUCUGUUGUUAGAGAAGAACAAGGACGUUAGUAACUGAACGUCCCCUGACGGUAUCUAACCAGAAAGCCACGGCUAACUACGUG